This 253-nucleotide ribosomal RNA is filed under the name uncultured bacterium. RNAcentral's name for it is "partial 16S ribosomal RNA". It matches the Rfam family "Bacterial small subunit ribosomal RNA", at positions 524 to 776 of the family's 1533-position model. The record is from RNAcentral.
UACGUAGGGUGCAAGCGUUGUCCGGAAUUAUUGGGCGUAAAGGGCUCGUAGGCGGUCUGUCGCGUCGGGAGUGAAAACUCAGGGCUUAACCCUGAGCCUGCUUCCGAUACGGGCAGACUAGAGGUAUGCAGGGGAGAACGGAAUUCCUGGUGUAGCGGUGGAAUGCGCAGAUAUCAGGAGGAGCACCGGUGGCGAAGGCGGUUCUCUGGGCAUUACCUGACGCUGAGGAGCGAAAGUGUGGGGAGCGAACAGG